AUUACAUUUUUGCCCUGAAUCCCUGGGUAUAUAAGCGAUAACUCCAUCACUUUCUCAAUUCCAGUAGUCUCCAUCGACAUCAAUGCCUGUUGUUAGGCAAUUUCAAGCUUAUCAUCCAUCACAAUCAGUCUCAGCAAAAGCUUGCUCAAAACUUGAAGGAAGGUCACCAAGUUGCAGGCUCUCGCUCUCACACGAAGUAUCAAUAGGUAGCUUAUUUGCCAGAUUUGGGGAAUAGUUUUCAGCAAGAAAAGAGUUUUUGCAAAACGUUGGGCACUGCAAUAGAAAAGGAAGAAGGCAAAUCAGUUUCAUCUCCGAAUUCAAAAGGUUUAGAACAUCAAAUUAAGUUAUACGUGUUCUUCAAAUUAAGUUUCAGAUCACAACCCUUGCAAAUGCAAUUGAAGAGAUGUUAGAGUGACAGUGGUAGAGAAAUUGAGAACAAAACUGCAGCUCAUCAAACCUAUCCAGCACGAACUCUGAAGCACCCAAAUGGCCAAGUAUGUGCAACAUAAAAAAAGUUAUGCUGGAAGAACAUAGAAUGGUUUCAAACAGGCUCUAUAGGUCGGUGAAAAAGUUCACACAGAGGAACAUUCUAAGGAUUUACCCCAAAGAAACUUAAAGUUGCCUCCUCAAAUUACCAACCACAUAUUGAAUGGAUGCAUGGAGCUCAAAUGGUUGUGUCUAAUAUGAAGGGAUGUGAUAACACACGAUGGUUCAUGCAUGGGAUGUUUAGAGCCAAUGAUGAGGCCCUGCCUUUUUUAUGCACAAGGGCUCAAAUGAUGAGAUUUUUUGACAGGACCCGCCCCGGAUUUCACCCCGAAAUCCGGAGUGGCCCUGCGGGGCCCACCUUAGUGAUAACUC
Long non-coding RNA from Rosa chinensis, 858 nucleotides. RefSeq lists it as uncharacterized. The record is from RefSeq and is a predicted model, not a curated record. Lineage: Eukaryota; Viridiplantae; Streptophyta; Magnoliopsida; Rosales; Rosaceae. The transcript has 7 exons.